GACGAACGCUGGCGGCGUGCUUAACACAUGCAAGUCGAACGGAAAGGCCCUGCUUUUGUGGGGUGCUCGAGUGGCGAACGGGUGAGUAACACGUGAGUAACCUGCCCUUGACUUUGGGAUAACUUCAGGAAACUGGGGCUAAUACCGGAUAGGAGCUCCUGCUGCAUGGUGGUGGAUGGAAAGUUUCGGCGGUUGUGGAUGGACUCGCGGCUUAUCAGCUUGUUGGUGGGGUAGUGGCUUACCAAGGCUUUGACGGGUAGCCGGCCUGAGAGGGUGACCGGCCACAUUAGGACUACGAUACGGCCCAGACUCCUACGGGAGGCAGCGGUGGAGAGUAUUGCGCAAUGGGCGGAAGCCUGUUGCAGCAGCGCCGCGUGCGGGAUGACGGCCUUCGGGUUGUAAACCGCUUUCGCCUGUGACGAAGCGUGAGUGACGGUAAUGGGUAAGGAAGCACCGGCUAACUACGUG
Molecule: ribosomal RNA, 468 nt
Filed under: uncultured bacterium
Lineage: Bacteria
Description: partial 16S ribosomal RNA
Rfam family: Bacterial small subunit ribosomal RNA
Source: RNAcentral